GAUGAACGCUGGCGGCGUGCCUAAUACAUGCAAGUCGAGCGAACGGACGAGAAGCUUGCUUCUCUGAUGUUAGCGGCGGACGGGUGAGUAACACGUGGAUAACCUACCUAUAAGACUGGGAUAACUUCGGGAAACCGGAGCUAAUACCGGAUAAUAUUUUGAACCGCAUGGUUCAAAAGUGAAAGACGGUCUUGCUGUCACUUAUAGAUGGAUCCGCGCUGCAUUAGCUAGUUGGUAAGGUAACGGCUUACCAAGGCAACGAUGCAUAGCCGACCUGAGAGGGUGAUCGGCCACACUGGAACGGAGACACGGUCCAGACUCCUACGGGAGGCAGCAGUAGGGAAUCUUCCGCAAUGGGCGAAAGCCUGACGGAGCAACGCCGCGUGAGUGAUGAAGGUCUUCGGAUCGUAAAACUCUGUUAUUAGGGAAGAACAUAUGUGUAAGUAACUGUGCACAUCUUGACGGUACCGAAUCAGAAAGCCACGGCUAACUACGUG
RNAcentral lists this ribosomal RNA (497 nucleotides) under uncultured bacterium. RNAcentral describes it as "partial 16S ribosomal RNA". It matches the Rfam family "Bacterial small subunit ribosomal RNA", at positions 28 to 507 of the family's 1533-position model. The record is from RNAcentral.